Canis lupus familiaris (dog) is the source of this 654-nucleotide long non-coding RNA. RefSeq lists it as uncharacterized. Lineage: Eukaryota; Metazoa; Chordata; Mammalia; Carnivora; Canidae. The transcript has 3 exons. The record is from RefSeq and is a predicted model, not a curated record.
CCCUCCUGGACCAAUCGACUAUGGCCAGGAGAGUAGCAUGUAAGAAAACGGAGAUCACAACAGGUGGGGUGUGGGAAAGAAACAGUUCCCAGAAGAAGUGGGGAAGAUGAUGGGCAGACUGCCCCCCUUCAACAAAAAGUCCACUGACUCAUUUUACAGAUGUGGAAAUUCAGGCUCAGAGAAAUUAAGUGACUCGCUCAAGAUUACAACUUGUACUAAGCUCAGGUCGUCUGGCACCUGGUCAAAUGCGUGCCUCACUCCCCCACACUGCUGCUCGUUUUGUGGAAUCCUCGUUUCAAGCUCUUGGAGCAGGGCAGCUUAGGUCCAGGCUGGAGAAAUGCGGGUUUGGUAAUUCAGAAAGGUGGGCGGAAGUGGUGGCAAGAUGGUGGAAAGGCCCCUCACCCACAGCUGGUGCUGGAAAAGACCAAUCUGCCCGCUACCUUCCACCUGCAGAGACUCAGAGGAAGGAGCCAAGAGUCAGACAUUUCACAGAUGGGAACAAGUGCAAGAUGAUGACCAAGGAGAUGGCUCUCUAUGACUUUCAAAUACCGUAUGAUCAAAAUUUUGCUUAAUAAGUGUGUAUGGGGGUGCCCGCGUGGCUCAAUCGGUUAAGCAUGGGAUUCUUGACUUUGGGUCAGGUCAUGAUCUCAGGGU